Molecule: ribosomal RNA, 585 nt
Filed under: uncultured bacterium
Lineage: Bacteria
Description: bacterial SSU rRNA
Rfam family: Bacterial small subunit ribosomal RNA
Source: RNAcentral
CCUACGGGAGGCAGCAGUGGGGAAUUUUGGACAAUGGGCGCAAGCCUGAUCCAGCCAUGCCGCGUGUGGGAAGAAGGCCUUCGGGUUGUAAACCACUUUUGUCAGGGAAGAAACGGCUUUUUCUAAUACAGAGAGCUAACGACGGUACCUGAAGAAUAAGCACCGGCUAACUACGUGCCAGCAGCCGCGGUAAUACGUAGGGUGCAAGCGUUAAUCGGAAUUACUGGGCGUAAAGCGUGCGCAGGCGGCUUUGCAAGACAGAUGUGAAAUCCCCGGGCUCAACCUGGGAACUGCAUUUGUGACUGCAUGGCUAGAGUACGGUAGAGGGGGAUGGAAUUCCGCGUGUAGCAGUGAAAUGCGUAGAUAUGCGGAGGAACACCGAUGGCGAAGGCAAUCCCCUGGACCUGUACUGACGCUCAUGCACGAAAGCGUGGGGAGCAAACAGGAUUAGAUACCCUGGUAGUCCACGCCCUAAACGAUGUCAACUGGUUGUUGGACGGCUUGCUGUUCAGUAACGAAGCUAACGCGUGAAGUUGACCGCCUGGGGAGUACGGCCGCAAGGUUGAAACGUCAAAGGAUUGACGG